RNAcentral lists this small RNA (54 nucleotides) under Arabidopsis thaliana (thale cress). RNAcentral describes it as "ATSL233450". The record is from RNAcentral. Lineage: Eukaryota; Viridiplantae; Streptophyta; Magnoliopsida; Brassicales; Brassicaceae.
CAGAAGAAGAACGAAGAAGAAGAAGAAGAUACAGGUAUGACGAGAAUCACUUGC